GUGAAUCAUCAAAUUUUUGAACGCAAAUUGCACUCUCCGGUUUUCCGGGAGAGUAUGCCUGUUUGAGGGUCAGCCUAAAAAAAAUCGACAUUGUUGCUGUUAUUUAAUGGUGACUUUCGUCGGAGAUUGGGUUAUCUUAAACCUUUUUUUUUUUUUGUUUAAAGCAAUUUAAAUUUUUUUUUAUUUUUCCCUUAACGUUUUUAAGAUUUUUUUUUUUUUAUAC
This 223-nucleotide unclassified non-coding RNA is filed under the name Glomeraceae sp. RNAcentral's name for it is "partial contains 5.8S ribosomal RNA and internal transcribed spacer 2". The stretch from base 1 to 72 matches the Rfam family "5.8S ribosomal RNA", at positions 84 to 154 of the family's 154-position model. The record is from RNAcentral. Lineage: Eukaryota; Fungi; Glomeromycota; Glomeromycetes; Glomerales; Glomeraceae.